This 77-nucleotide transfer RNA is filed under the name Ruminococcus bromii. RNAcentral describes it as "tRNA-Pro". It matches the Rfam family "tRNA". From Rfam's summary of the family: Transfer RNA (tRNA) molecules are approximately 80 nucleotides in length. Lineage: Bacteria; Bacillati; Bacillota; Clostridia; Eubacteriales; Oscillospiraceae. RNAcentral also lists the same sequence under 10 other names. The record is from RNAcentral.
CGGGAUGUAGCGCAGCUUGGUAGCGCACACGUCUGGGGGGCGUGGUGUCGCAAGUUCAAAUCUUGUCAUCCCGACCA